Molecule: long non-coding RNA, 3012 nt
Filed under: Hordeum vulgare
Lineage: Eukaryota; Viridiplantae; Streptophyta; Magnoliopsida; Poales; Poaceae
Description: long non-coding RNA (HVUL_LNC012864)
Source: RNAcentral
UGAGCCGACGACCGGACAUCUUUUGUCAAGGUUUGUGCCCACUGAAAACUCUUGCUGAGGAUAUGAAUGAUAUUCAUCGCAAACUGAUGUAGCUUCUCAAUAUAUGUACUGUAUUAGAUUGUUUUGAUUUAUAUCAGAUGCGCUAUCUUUUGGUAUGUUCAACCAUUCAGGUUGUGUUACUGUUUCCUAAGUUCAGGUUGGAGGAGUAUGAAUAUUGAUAAUAGUCGUGAUUCUUGUGGAGUAAUUUAUCACAGAGUUCCUUUCAGGCUUAUGCCAUAUCAUCAAUGAACCAUAUGGAUCGAUGUUUUCACCAUGUUUUAGUUCCAUGUACUUAUAGUAAUAGCUGAGAACAUGGUGCAUUUUGUUUAACCAUUUCCUAAUCCACACAGCUUUCAGAAUGCUAACGCAAGUACUUAGACAAGCGCACAUCAGACUUUCAUGGUACGACGGUGCGCCCAUCAAUUGUUAUGUGUUCUACUUAUGUGUUCUACUCUGCCUGUGACAUGACCAUCAACUUCAUUUUACCGCUGGACAAGAAAUGACAUGCAUCUCAUGUCCACGAUCCUACUUAGAAACAAUAACUAUCUAGACUUAACUAUUGUAAAAUAUAAAUGUUAAUAUAUUGUCUAGACUUAACUAUUAAUCAGGGCACACAAUGUUAAUAUACUUCAAAUAUGGCUAAGUUGGUCUUAACUAUUGUAAAAUAUAAAUGGCAAUGAUAAUGCAGACAUAGAUCAUAUUAUUGCAUUACCCUUUUCCAAGAAAAUAAUGGAAGUACGUGUAUGAUCUUUCUGUGAAAUACAUUAUCAUGCUUUUGCAAGUUCCACGUUUUUCAAUUUCAGAUAAAGGAAUUGGAUCUUUCUUGGAGGCUCGGUGUUUCUUAACUGAGGCAUCUGCAGCAAUCUGUGUGUUGUCAGGUCCCAACGGGUCAAAGGAUUCAUCCUCCUUAUUCUGUCAGAUUUGCUUAUUCUUUCCAUGCAUACUGUACGAUCUUGAAAAGGUCAGAUUUGAGAGUACAUCUGCUGAAUUUUAAUUUUCAAAGAUGAUGAAUAUAUAUUGUAUAAUAUAAAUCAAAAUAUCAUAUAUUGAAUUUGUAGUUUCAUUCUCCAUUUCAGAUGAUGUCGUCUUCAGAUGUUGUUGUCUACCUAACCUAUUAUAGUUAUUUGUUCUCAAUCUGUCAUUACUCCAAGCCCAUCUCAAAAGCCUACUUUCUUGAAUUGUAGGAUGGAGAAUAAUACUGCUAUAACAGACGUUGAGGCCAUAAAACAACAUCUACUUACACUUAAGCCAAGACAUGAUCAUGAGGUUUCUUUUCAAUUGCAUAGUUCAUAGUUGGAUUUUUACAAGAACAUUUGCUUCCCUGUUUGGAUGUCGUGAGUCACAACAAGGUAUGAGCUGCUGCUAUGUUUUCUAUAUUCUAUCUCAGUAUUUUUCUUCCCUUAAAAUCUUUGUACAAAUUAUUCCAUUUCAUGUUAGUUGAUACUUUGUGUUUGCAAACAAAGCUCAGACCUAUCUCUCUCAGGGCAUUACUUCCAUACCACACAUGAUUUUAUUUUCUUUGCAGACAUCAACGAUAGGGACCAUGCUAUUGAAUGCAUUAGCUGAUUCAGAUGCCAACGGGGAAUUCUGCGAAGAGACAUUUGUGGCCAAUGUGCAGGUAUGCACGAUAAUGUGUGUGUUUCGCAUUAUCCAUUUGUUAUUGAACCUUUGUCUCUAUUCUGUCAUCAAUCAAAGGCUUCAUGCUGAGAUUGAACCAACCAUGAAAAUGAGAACCGAAGAAAAGAUUAUUAUCUCUUUCUCCCAUCAUUGGGAUCAACCCUUUUAGGCUUUCAGGUUGAGCAGCGACUUUACAUAUAAACGGACCUCCGUAACAAUUUGUACAGUGCUAGGCAAUUGAAGAAAUAUGAUAGCUCUAAAAUGCAUGCCACUUUAUUUACAAUUCUGUGCAAUUAUGGAGCAGAUAUUGAGCCCACAUAGUGCACUUCAUUAUACAACAUAUAACAUGAACGAUAUGUAAUAUUUAUCUGUCAUUACUUGUCUGGCUCGAACUCAGUAGGACAUAUCUUUUCCUGCUCACAUGGUUUCUAAAGUCAGUGACUGGCAGUUUUGGCAACACAUGGUACAUGCGCUCGGAAUGAAGGCCUGGAUGUGCUGAACAGGUUUGGCACACACUACUGGACACACUUGGUUUGAUACUACGUAACCAAAUAGACUCUGGAUUUAACACAAUUCAGCUAUAUGGUCUCCCCAAUUUAUUUCAGAGGGCUACACACUCAUCAAAUCAGUGGAUCAGAUGGAAAUUAUGCUUCUGACCCAGCUGUUAAAAUAUACAAAGCUGCAUAAAUCAACUUGAACAUUUUAGAUGUCUCAUCAAGACCUCCUCAUGUGUCUCUGUUUAUAUUCACCCAUCGAGAUUUCUAUCUAUGUACUUUGCCAAUAUGUGUCAUAUAUAAUGUAAUUAACAAAUGGGCCUACAUAAAACCUUUAAUUGACUGCCACUCAACCAAGCUCUACAGUCUACUAUUUGUUCUUCAUCUUUAAUAAACAAAAAAAUGAAAAAUUUAGAUGAGUAAGAAAACAACUUUUUACUAUUUUAUCAUUGGUUAUCGUGCGUGCAAUUUUACUAGUUUCCUUGGUCUGAAAGCCUUACCAUCAUUUUCUUCUUGCAGGCGGCCAUGGCAAGAGCAUAUUGUGCAGAGGACGUGGAUGAGAAGAAACUUAUGGUUCUCAUUCAAUCUUUGUGGAACUCUCUUUAUGUGCGAUUGUGCAUUUGUUGGAACCUUUUUUCUGUGCACUUGCACAAGUAUUCUGUUGUGCACAUGUAAAAUUAUUUUGAUGUGUCCUUGUUAGGUGUUGAACCUUAAUGCGUGGAGUCAGUGGAUGAUGUAUUGUAUUUGAUGUGAUAUGCUAUUGAAAUGAAAUAUACAUUUUAUUUGCAAUCUUUUAUUUUGUUGUACUUAUUUUUAAUGGGCCUAUCUUGAGAUAUGCGUGCUUCUAGCAAAAAAAAUGCUU